This 497-nucleotide ribosomal RNA is filed under the name uncultured bacterium. RNAcentral describes it as "partial 16S ribosomal RNA". It matches the Rfam family "Bacterial small subunit ribosomal RNA", at positions 28 to 507 of the family's 1533-position model. The record is from RNAcentral.
GAUGAACGCUGGCGGCGUGCCUAAUACAUGCAAGUCGAGCGAACAGACGAGGAGCUUGCUCCUCUGACGUUAGCGGCGGACGGGUGAGUAACACGUGGAUAACCUACCUAUAAGACUGGGAUAACUUCGGGAAACCGGAGCUAAUACCGGAUAACAUGUUGAACCGCAUGGUUCAACAGUGAAAGACGGUCUUGCUGUCACUUAUAGAUGGAUCCGCGCCGCAUUAGCUAGUUGGUAAGGUAACGGCUUACCAAGGCAACGAUGCGUAGCCGACCUGAGAGGGUGAUCGGCCACACUGGAACGGAGACACGGUCCAGACUCCUACGGGAGGCAGCAGUAGGGAAUCCUCCGCAAUGGGCGAAAGCCUGACGGAGCAACGCCGCGUGAGUGAAGAAGGUCUUCGGAUCGUAAAACUCUGUUAUUAGGGAAGAACAAAUGUGUAAGUAACUAUGCACGUCUUGACGGUACCUAAUCAGAAAGCCACGGCUAACUACGUG